CAUGGGGUAAGUUAUGUCUUAUAUACAAUUCUUCUCUUUGCAUGAGUUCAUGUCUUAAGUAACCAUGUUUUUUAUUACUUGAAUGCAGUUACUUGUACAAGUACUUGAAGGAAACAAACAGGGCUGAGUAUGUGUCGUUUGUGGAUCCCAACAAAAUACCAGCCGCUCAAGAUGGCAGUACCUCUUCACAACACAUUGCUAAUCAGUUGAAAGCAUCAAACGGAGACAGCAUAUGCCUUAUCCCAUACAACACUGGUGGAGUGAGGACGUACCUUUGUAUGAGGGGUAAUCCAAAACGACCAACUUUCAAACAGUUGACGGGUAAUCUCAAACAACAAGGUUGUGUUGAAUGUGGAUACUGUGUCAUGCGGU
Zingiber officinale is the source of this 372-nucleotide long non-coding RNA. RefSeq lists it as uncharacterized. The record is from RefSeq and is a predicted model, not a curated record. The transcript is spliced from 3 exons. Lineage: Eukaryota; Viridiplantae; Streptophyta; Magnoliopsida; Zingiberales; Zingiberaceae.